GAUGAACGCUGGCGGCGUGCCUAAUACAUGCAAGUCGAGCGGUAAGGCCUCUUCGGAGGUACACGAGCGGCGGACGGCUGAGUAACACGUAGGAACGUACCCCAAACUGAGGGAUAAGCACCAGAAAUGGUGUCUAAUACCGCAUGUGCUCUAAGGAGUAAAGCUACGGCGGUUUGGGAACGGCCUGCGUACGAUUAGAUUGUUGGUGAGGUAAUGGCUCACCAAGUCGACGAUCGUUAGCUGGUCUGAGAGGAUGAUCAGCCAGACUGGGACUGAGAACGGCCCAGACUCCUACGGGAGGCAGCAGUGGGGAAUCUUAGACAAUGGGGGAAACCCUGAUCUAGCCAUGCCGCGUGAUCGAUGAAGGCCUUAGGGUUGAAAAGAUCUUUCAGGUGGGAAGAUAAUGACUGUACCACCAGAAGAAGCCCCGGCUAACUCCGUGCCAGCAGCCGCCGUAA
Molecule: ribosomal RNA, 458 nt
Filed under: uncultured bacterium
Lineage: Bacteria
Description: partial 16S ribosomal RNA
Rfam family: Bacterial small subunit ribosomal RNA
Source: RNAcentral